AUGCAGAUAGUAAACUAUAGGUACAUGAUGAAGAGUUCAUUUGCGAGUGUCGACAACUCUAGUUUGGAGAACACUAUCAGCACUAUUUUGGAACAUCUCGGACGCAAGAAGGAGAACUACCCUGGGAAAUAUCUCAGCAGGGACCAUAUUUCUGGAAAUCUUCUUUUUCCUUUUUCUGCAACCCAGAAACCACCUACUCUAGCAGAAAUCUCACGAAAACCAGAGACAGAGGUUCUGACGAUUGAUGAUGUCAAGACGGAUCAUAAUUCAAAGAUUUUUAAAGUUUUCUUAAACCAAAGUAUUGUUUUUCAAAGAACAUUAGAAACAGUUGCUGACUAUGCAGAAACUUAUGGGGCAAAUUUUUCAGUUGGAAUAUUUCAGGUACAGUAUUUCCCACAAUAUUCUCAAAAAUAAGUUCAGGUAACACCUAGACCAAUUUUAGCUCACAUGUAUAAGGUUGCAACAAUGUACCCUACACCAGAAGAAGUGAGCUCAUAUUUUUAUGAGAACACAUGCACAUCAAAAAGGAAUCAAAUUCCUCUGUCAGGAAAGGGUUUGUCACUUAAAAUCGCUCGUCACAAUUUUAAAUAAUUCUCAAGGUUACAAUCUUCAGUCAUCAAAUUCAAAGUAUUUCACCCUGUCUACUAAGUUAAGUACUGCUAGAUGACCAUAUCCCUCCUCCAUCCUGUGUCUUUAAGAAACAAGACAGAGUAUUAGAGUGACAUGGUCACUCACAGCAACGAUGACAGAUUUUUAAGUGUUCUUAAGAACCUGUCAUCACCAGGGAUCUAACUUGGGCUUUUAGUGCUGCCAGCAAACUGCCGUAACCACUACAUCACCAAAGCUGUCUUUCUUUCUAUUCGAUCCAUCCCUAAAAUUUUCAAAGAAUAUCGUUGAUAAAACAAAAAAAUGUUUAAAAAAACUUUGUCUGUUUCAAACUGUUUUUAUGUAGAUCACAAAUCUGAACCAACCCUUCGAAGAAUCAGACCACCUAUCUCUCUAUCGCUUGUAUUUGAGCUCUGAUGUUUUAAGAAGCUUUCUUUGUUCGUUGAAGCUGGGAAAAUUGUGUAUGAAAAUUCUAAUAGGAGGCAUGGAGAUUGUGAAUCAAAGAAUAUUUUGGUAUGCAGUCAUCAGACCAGGAUACGGAGAUGUAGUCAGACCAUUCAUGUCGUAUGCCGAACAGAAGUAAAUCAAUUGAAUGGCAAGAAAAACUUAGAUAUUAGUUACGCAUCAUAUAAAAUGUAAGUAAUAGUUAUUCCUUUUCUUUUCAGUGGUGUACUCCUGAAAUUUAGUACUAACAGAACGUAGUCCAUUUUGAAAUGGAUGAAAAAGGAUGAAAUUUUGACCCUUUUUACCUUCAAAAAGUGCUUUAUGCUCUUUGUUUUAUCACUUUGUCACAGAAAACCUGUAGGCAGAGAUGGAAAAUUUCAUGAAAUUUAUUCGAGUGAAAUUUCACGCGUGAAAUUUCAUGAAAUUUCAUGAAAU
This 1485-nucleotide long non-coding RNA is filed under the name Bemisia tabaci. RNAcentral's name for it is "lncRNA ENSSWEETPG012601". The record is from RNAcentral. Lineage: Eukaryota; Metazoa; Arthropoda; Insecta; Hemiptera; Aleyrodidae.